CUACGGGGUGCUGCAGUGAGGGAUCUUGCGCAAUGGGCGAAAGCCUGACGCAGCGACGCCGCGUGGAGGAUGAAGGUCUUCGGAUUGUAAACUCCUGUUAAGUGGGAAGAAAAGCCUGUUUUUAAUACAAGCAGGUUAUGACGGUACCAUUAGAGAAAGCACCGGCGAACUUCGUGCCAGCAGCCGCGGUAAUACGAGGGGUGCUAGCGUUAUUCGGAAUCAUUGGGCGUAAAGGGUGCGUAGACGGUAUGGCAAGUCUGCUGUUAAAUAUUCCGGCCUAACCGGAAAGGUGCGGUGGAAACUGCUGUGCUAGAGGAUGGAAGAGAGAAGUGGAAUUCUCGGAGUAGCGGUAAAAUGCGUGGAUCUCGAGAGGAACACCAAUGGCGAAGGCAGCUUCUUGGUCCAUUUCUGACGUUGAGGCACGAAAGCGUGGGGAGCAAACAGGAUUAGAUACCCGAGUAGUC
RNAcentral lists this ribosomal RNA (464 nucleotides) under uncultured bacterium. RNAcentral's name for it is "partial 16S ribosomal RNA". It matches the Rfam family "Bacterial small subunit ribosomal RNA", at positions 339 to 795 of the family's 1533-position model. The record is from RNAcentral.